UUUAUAUUUUGUAUAAUAUUAAGGGUUAUGUCUGAUUAUAUUAUGAACAGUGUUUUUCUUACUCUUAAAGUUGUAGCACUACUCUAUUAUUAUAAUUUUAUAAAUUUCUUUCUGUAGUGGUUUUAAAGGAUGCUGAGUUAGAUGCUACCGGUUCCUCUUCCUCUGUGGAAUACGAAGAAAGUCCGCAGGCAACUGAAACCGAAGCUGUUGAAGACGUUCCUGAAGUCGAAAAUUUCGACAAUACCAAUCAAAUUGUAAUACUUCCUUCUAUGCACAAUGCGGAAAAGGAAUCAGAGUUGGGGACCAAGGCCUGCACUUUAAAUGAACCCUCAGUAUCGGAUUCUCGACCCAAGAAACGAAAGAAAGUUUCAAUUGAUGAAUUACAAAGAAUGCAGUAUGAGGUUUUAUGUUGUCAAAAGACACACAUCGGACUCAAGAAUGUGAAGAUUCAGAAGGACAUUGAGCGGUCAGAACUUAAAACUGAAAACUUGAGGCUGC
Long non-coding RNA from Magallana angulata, 498 nucleotides. RefSeq lists it as uncharacterized. NCBI's taxonomy places the organism in Eukaryota, Metazoa, Mollusca, Bivalvia, Ostreida, Ostreidae. The transcript has 3 exons. The record is from RefSeq and is a predicted model, not a curated record.